CCGCGGCUGCUGGCACGGAGUUAGCCGGUGCUUCUUCUGUAGGUAACGUCAAGCCUCAUGGGUAUUAACCAUAAGGUUUUCCUCCCUACUGAAAGUGCUUUACAACCCGAAAGCCUUCUUCACACACGCGGCAUGGCUGGAUCAGGGUUGCCCCCAUUGUCCAAUAUUCCCCACUGCUGCCUCCCGUAGGAGUUCGGGCCGUGUCUCAGUCCCGAUGUGGCUGAUCAUCCUCUCAGACCAGCUACGGAUCGUCGCCUUGGUAGGCCUUUACCCCACCAACUAGCUAAUCCGACUUAGGCUCAUCCAAUAGCGCAAGGUCCGAAGAUCCCCUGCUUUCUCCCGUAGGACGUAUGCGGUAUUAAUCCGGGUUUCCCCGGGCUAUCCCCCACUACUGGGCAGAUUCCUAAGCAUUACUCACCCGUCCGCCGCUCGUCAGCGGGAAGCAAGCUUCCCCUGUUACCGCUCGACUUGCAUGUGUUAAGCCUGCCGCCAGCGUUCAAUCUGAGCCAUGAUCAAACUC
RNAcentral lists this ribosomal RNA (520 nucleotides) under uncultured Gammaproteobacteria bacterium. Its description in RNAcentral is "partial 16S ribosomal RNA". Lineage: Bacteria; Pseudomonadati; Pseudomonadota; Gammaproteobacteria. The record is from RNAcentral.